This 253-nucleotide ribosomal RNA is filed under the name uncultured bacterium. RNAcentral's name for it is "partial 16S ribosomal RNA". It matches the Rfam family "Bacterial small subunit ribosomal RNA", at positions 524 to 776 of the family's 1533-position model. The record is from RNAcentral.
UACAGAGGUCUCAAGCGUUGAUCGGAUUCAUUGGGCGUAAAGGGUGUGUAGGUGGCGCGCUAAGUCGGGUGUGAAAUUUCGGAGCUUAACUCCGAAACUGCAUUCGAUACUGGCGUGCUUGAGGACUGGAGAGGAGACUGGAAUUCAUGGUGUAGCAGUGAAAUGCGUAGAGAUCAUGAGGAAGACCAGUGGCGAAGGCGGGUCUCUGGACAGUUCCUGACACUGAGACACGAAGGCCAGGGGAGCAAACGGG